GCGGAAAAACUACGUAGUUAUGCGGUUUAUUAUUCCCCUGCUAAGGGAGUAGGCGUCUAAACCACGCGCAAGGGUUCAAAUCCCUUCUUCCGCGCCA
Molecule: transfer RNA, 97 nt
Filed under: Caudoviricetes sp.
Lineage: Duplodnaviria; Heunggongvirae; Uroviricota; Caudoviricetes
Description: tRNA-Ser
Source: RNAcentral